CCUACGGGUGGCUGCAGUAGGGAAUCUUGCGCAAUGGACGAAAGUCUGACGCAGCAACGCCGCGUGAGCGAAGAAGGUCUUCGGAUCGUAAAGCUCUGUUGGCAGGGAAGAACAAGUACGGGAGGAAAUGGCCGUACCUUGACGGUACCUAACGAGGAAGCCCCGGCUAACUACGUGCCAGCAGCCGCGGUAAUACGUAGGUGGCCAGCGUUGUUCGGAAUUAUUGGGCGUAAAGCGUGCGCAGGCGGUCAUUUAAGUCUGAUGUGAAAUCUUGCGGCUCAACCGGAGGCGGUCAUUGGAGACUGGGAGACUUGAGUGCAGAAGAGGAAAGCGGAAUUCCACGUGUAGCGGUGAAAUGCGUAGAGAUGUGGAGGAACACCAGUGGCGAAGGCGGCUUUCUGGUCUGUAACUGACGCUGAGGCGCGAAAGCGUGGGGAGCAAACAGGAUUAGAUACCCUAGUAGUC
Molecule: ribosomal RNA, 465 nt
Filed under: uncultured bacterium
Lineage: Bacteria
Description: bacterial SSU rRNA
Rfam family: Bacterial small subunit ribosomal RNA
Source: RNAcentral